GAUAUAUUCCCUCCGUCCGGAAUUACUUCGUACAAAUGGAUGUAUCUAGAUGUAUUUUAGUUCUAGAUACAUCCCUUUCUAUCCAUUUCUGAGACAAGUAAUUCAGGACGGAGGAGGUAUCUU
Molecule: non-coding RNA, 123 nt
Organism: Triticum urartu
Lineage: Eukaryota; Viridiplantae; Streptophyta; Magnoliopsida; Poales; Poaceae
Source: Rfam